Molecule: long non-coding RNA, 324 nt
Filed under: Anneissia japonica
Lineage: Eukaryota; Metazoa; Echinodermata; Crinoidea; Comatulida; Comatulidae
Description: uncharacterized LOC117113066
Source: RNAcentral
AUUGGUGUGACAGCUCUACAUCUUGCUGCACACGAAGGACAUCCAAUAAUAUUGCAACUUCUUUUAGAUGCAGGUGCACAGCUCAUAAAAAGAAAGAAUGGCAACACUCCUCUGCAUGACUGUUUCAGGGAUCCCAAGCGAACAUAUUCACAGCAUUUCGAAGUUAGCAAUGUUCUAUUGAACAAAGACAGAAACUUGUCGUUUCUUAAAAACAAUUUUGGUGAAACUGCUGCCGACAUCUACCAAAACCAUGAAUGUAGAGAAUAUUCAGAUUACCAUAGAUCUGCUGCAGAAAGGGAAAGAUUACUUUACAUACUGAAAGGU